AAAAAAGAGUUUGGAGGGUUAUGUAUUACUAAUAUUGCUGAUAUGAAUCUUAUCCUUCUUGCUUCAUGUCUGCAUAACUACUCUCCUUUUUGGAAAGGAGUCAUGUGGGCUGCCAAAGCUGCCAAGAUAGAUUAUUCCUGUAGGGUAGCAAAUGGAGAGAAGGUCAAAUUCUGGGAGGAUUAUUGGUUUGGUAACUCUAGCUUUGCCAUCCAAUUUUGUGAGCUAUGAUGUAUUGCUAAUGAACAUAUCACUAUUGCUGAUGUUUGGGAUGGUGUGAAUCUUAUGGUCACCUUCCGGAGAUGUGUAGACUCUAGGUUGUUUCUCCCGUGGUAUGAUCUCCUUAGUAUAGCUCAGUCCAUUCGUUUCUCUGAAGAGGAAGAUUCUAUGGUGUGGAAAUUUGAAUCUAGUGAUGCUUACUCUAUUAGAUCCAUGUAUGCACUUGUUAACUUUAAAGGGAUUCUGCCUAUCUAUAUCCCUGAUAUGUGGCAUGUGCAUGUUUCCCCUAAAAUCCAUAUUUUGAUGUGGCUCUUAUCUCACAACAAGUUGCUCACUAGAGAUAAUUUGAUUAAGAGGCAACAUAUUGAGGAUAAAACUUGUCUGUUUUUUUGUGAGAUGGAAUCCAUUAAUCAUACCUUCUUUGAAUGUGUGGUGGCCCAGGAAAUUUGGAAAAAAAUUAUAGUCUAA
RNAcentral lists this ribosomal RNA (684 nucleotides) under Triticum aestivum (bread wheat). RNAcentral describes it as "partial small subunit ribosomal RNA". Lineage: Eukaryota; Viridiplantae; Streptophyta; Magnoliopsida; Poales; Poaceae. The record is from RNAcentral.